GCUGGGUGGAUUAGUGGCGAACGGGUGAGUAACACGUGAGUAACCUGCCCUUGACUCUGGGAUAAGCCUGGGAAACUGGGUCUAAUACCGGAUAUGACCUUCCAUCGCAUGGUGGUUGGUGGAAAGCUUUUGUGGUUUUGGAUGGACUCGCGGCCUAUCAGCUUGUUGGUGGGGUAAUGGCCUACCAAGGCGAUGACGGGUAGCCGGCCUGAGAGGGUGACCGGCCACACUGGGACUGAGACACGGCCCAGACUCCUACGGGAGGCAGCAGUGGGGAAUAUUGCACAAUGGGCGCAAGCCUGAUGCAGCGACGCCGCGUGAGGGAUGACGGCCUUCGGGUUGUAAACCUCUUUCAGUAGGGAAGAAGCGAAAGUGACGGUACCUGCAGAAGAAGCGCCGGCUAACUACGUGCCAGCAGCCGCGGUAAUACGUAGGGCGCAAGCGUUAUCCGGAAUUAUUGGGCGUAAAGAGCUCGUAGGCGGUUUGUCGCGUCUGCUGUGAAAGACCGGGGCUCAACUCCGGUUCUGCAGUGGGUACGGGCAGACUAGAGUGAUGUAGGGGAGACUGGAAUUCCUGGUGUAGCGGUGAAAUGCGCAGAUAUCAGGAGGAACACCGAUGGCGAAGGCAGGUCUCUGGGCAUUAACUGACGCUGAGGAGCGAAAGCAUGGGGAGCGAACAGGAUUAGAUACCCUGGUAGUCCAUGCCGUAAACGUUGGGCACUAGGUGUGGGGGACAUUCCACGUUUUCCGCGCCGUAGCUAACGCAUUAAGUGCCCCGCCUGGGGAGUACGGCCGCAAGGCUAAAACUCAAAGGAAUUGACGGGGGCCCGCACAAGCGGCGGAGCAUGCGGAUUAAUUCGAUGCAACGCGAAGAAUCUUUACCAAAGGCUUGACAUGGACUGGAUCGCUCUGGAAACAGGGUUUCCCUUCGGGGCUGGUUCACAGGUGGUGCAUGAUGUCGUCAGCUCGUGUCGUGAGAUGUUGGGUUAAGUUCCCGCAACGAGCGCACCCUCGUUUCCAUGUUGCCAGCACGUAGUGGUGGGGACUCAUGGGGAGA
RNAcentral lists this ribosomal RNA (1056 nucleotides) under Arthrobacter sp. RNAcentral describes it as "bacterial SSU rRNA". It matches the Rfam family "Bacterial small subunit ribosomal RNA", at positions 82 to 1148 of the family's 1533-position model. Lineage: Bacteria; Bacillati; Actinomycetota; Actinomycetes; Micrococcales; Micrococcaceae. The record is from RNAcentral.